RNAcentral lists this ribosomal RNA (714 nucleotides) under Triticum aestivum (bread wheat). RNAcentral describes it as "partial small subunit ribosomal RNA". The record is from RNAcentral. Lineage: Eukaryota; Viridiplantae; Streptophyta; Magnoliopsida; Poales; Poaceae.
AUGCACUUUCUUCCCCCUCUUCCACUCUUCUUCCUCCUCUCUUCUUCUUCCUCCUCUCUUCUUCUUCCUCCUCUCUUCCCCAUCGUCGGCCGCACACCAUUUCCCCCCGCUCACUGCUCGCCCGCCCGCGCUAUCUUCCUUCGUAGCUCGCACUACCAUAUAACUGGAAUUAACCGAUGCAAGUCGAAGAAGGAUUGGCCGGUGCUGCCGGCUAGCUUCAAGUUCGAUCCCACGGAUCAGGAGCUGAUCGAGCACCUUGAGGCCAAAGUGAGUGCUGACAGCGCGAGAUCUCACCCUCUCGUCGAUUUGUUCAUACCAACCAUCGACAGGGAGCAAGGCAUAUGCUACACCCAUCCUGAGAAACAUCCAGGUAUCACACUGAGUGGCCAAAGCAAGCAUUUCUUCCAGUGCAAUUCCAGGGCGUUCAAAAGGGGCACGUGGAUGCGUCACAAGAUACAGUCAGAGUGCGGCAUGCAUGCGAUGUGGCACAACACCGGCAAUACCUUGCCGGUUAUGGUCAACGGCCGGCAGACGGGCAGCGAAAAGGUUCUGGUGCUGCACACCAACAAGAACUUCGACCAGCAGAGGACCAACUGGGUGAUGCACCAGUACCACCUCGGGGACCUGGAGCAAGAGAAGGAGCGGGAGCUGGUCCUCUGCAAGAUUUUCUACCAGACAAACACUAGGGCCAGGAGUAAAAAGAUUAUAAGUUAG